Molecule: long non-coding RNA, 2276 nt
Filed under: Canis lupus familiaris (dog)
Lineage: Eukaryota; Metazoa; Chordata; Mammalia; Carnivora; Canidae
Description: lncRNA (ENSCAFG00845014968.1)
Source: RNAcentral
CGCAGAGUUUUCAGGAAAAACUUUGCAGCUCAGAUAGAUGUGGCAUGAUGUAUUCAAAGUGCUGAAAGGAGAAAAUCUGCUGCCAAGAAUAUAUUCUAUUCAGCAAGGGUAUCAUUCAGAAUAGGAGAGAUCAAGAGUUCCUAGCCAGAUAGGAACAAGAGCUAAGGGAGUUCCUGACCACCAACCUAGCUCUACAAAAAAUGUUAAAGGGGAACAUUCUUUGAGUGGAAAGGAAAGACCAUAAAUAAGAGUAAGAAAAGUAGGAAGCACAAAAGAAGUAAAAAUAAGUAUAUCUGUAAAAAUCAAUCAAGGGAUUCACAAAAGGAUGUAAAGUAUGACACCAUGUAUCUAGAACAUGGAUGGGGAUUCAGGGAUGGAGAGAAGAUAUAGACUGCUAUAUGCAGAAAUCCUUAUAUACAAACUGAAUGGUAACCACAAAUUAAAAACCAGUAAUAGGUAUAAAAAAAGAAAAGAAAGGAACUCAAGUAUAUCACUAAAGAAAGCCAACAAAUUAUGAGAGUAUAGAGCAAAGGAAGAAAGGAACAAAGAACUACUAAAAACAUGAAAAGCAAGUAACAAAAUGGCAAUAAGUACAUACCUAUCAGUAAGUACUCUGAAUGUAAAUGGACUUAAUGUCAAAAGACACAGGGUAAUGGAAUGCAUAAAACAAAACAAAACAAAAACCAACCAGGACUAGUAGAACAGAUCAGUGAAACCAGGAGCUUGUUCUUUGAAAAGAUCAACAAAAUUAAUAAACCUUUAGGUAGACUCAUCAAAAAAGAAAAAAAGGCAUCAGAAAUGAAAGAGGAGAAAUAACUAAUACCACAGAAACAGAAUUAUAACAGAAUAUUAUGAAAAAUUAUAUGCCAACAUAUUGGACAACCUAGAAAAAAUGGAUACAUUUCUAGAAACAUACAGCCUCCCAAAACUGAAUCAGGAAGAAAUAGAAAAUGAACAGACCUAAUGUGGGGCUGGAACUCACAACCCUGAGACAGAGUUGCCUGCUUUCCCAACUGAGGCAGUCAGGCACCCCCACUCUCAUCACUUUUAGUCAGCAUAGUACUGGAAACCCUAGCUGCAGCAUCAGACAAGAAAAAAGGAAUAAAAGACAUUCAAAUCUGUAAGGAAGAAGUCAAACUGUCACUCUUUGCAAAUGACAUGAUACUAUAUAUAUAAAACCCUAAAGACUCCACCAAAAAAAGCUACUAGAACUAUUAAAUGAAUUCAGUAAGGUUGCAGGAUACACGAUCAAUAUUCAGAAGUCCUUUGCAUUACUAUACAUGAAUAGCAAAGCUUGAAAGAGAAAUUAAGAAAACAAUCCCAUUUACAAUGGUACCAAUAAUAGUAAAUAUUAGGAAUAAAUUUAACCAAGGAGAUGAAAGAUCUAUACUCUGAGAACUAUAAAACGUCAAUGAAAAAAAUUGAAGAUGACAUAAACAAAUGGAAAGACAUUCCAUAGUCCUGAAUUGGAAGAUACUGAUACAUGCCCGUGUUACCCAAAGAAUCUACAGAUAUAGUGCAAUUUCUAUCAAGAUACCAAUAGCACUUUUCACAGAACUAGAAUAAAUAAUCUUAAAAUUUGGAACCAUAGAAGACCCCAAAUAGCCACAACAAUCUUGGAAAAGAAAAAGCUGGAGGUGUCACAGCCCUAGAUUUCCAGAUAUACUACAUAGGUACAGUAAUCAAAACAGUUUGGUAUUGGCACAAAGUUUGAGACACAUGAGAGCCCAGAAAUAAACCUAUGAUUUUGUGGUCAAUCAGUUCUUGACAAAGGAGACAAGAAUAUGUUAUGAGAAAAAGACAUCUCUUUAGCACAUAGUGUUGGGAAAACUGGACAGCUAUAUGUAAAAGAAUCAAACUGGACCACUUUCUUAUACUGUAGACAAAAAUAGAAUUAAGGAUCUAAAUGUGAGACCUGAAACCAUAAAAAUCCUAGAAGAGAGCUCAGGCAGUAAUUUCUCUGACAUUGGCCAUAGCAGUAUUUUUUUAGAUAUGUCUCCUGAGGCAAGAGAAACUAAAGCAAAAUAUAAAGCCCUCCCAAAGGCAAAAAUAAACUAUUGGGACUAUUUAAAAGCAUAAACUUGGGAUCCCUGGGUGGCGCAGCGGUUUGGCGCCUGCCUUUGGCCCGGGGCGCGAUCCUGGAGACCUGGGAUCGAAUCCCACGUCGGGCUCCCUGCAUGGAGCCUGCUUCUCCCUCUGCCUGUGUCUCUGCCUCUCUGUCUCUCUCUGUGUGACUAUCAUGAAUAAAUAAAUAAAAUCUUAAAAAAAAAAAAAAA